This 3707-nucleotide unclassified non-coding RNA is filed under the name Megachile rotundata (alfalfa leafcutting bee). RNAcentral describes it as "thyrotropin-releasing hormone-degrading ectoenzyme- like, transcript variant X3". Lineage: Eukaryota; Metazoa; Arthropoda; Insecta; Hymenoptera; Megachilidae. The record is from RNAcentral.
UCAGCUUGUGAUAACCUAAGAACAUAGUACAUCUAAAUAUAUUGCAGCCUAGAAAUAAAAAUGAAAAACCACACAACAUAGUCGAAACCUUCAUAUCUCAACGAUAUCUCAAAAUACUCAAACAGUAAAAUUGCAACAUAGAAAAUCCCCAAACGACUUGUAACUAUACUAUGACAUACAUCACUCGAGUACUUUACUCCAGUAUACUUUACUGCAUUAAGCAAUAAUAACGUAAUGGUAUUUGAAGCUAAAUCCGCAACCGCCUCCACUCGUUAAAUCGUUUUUCCAUCGCAAAUACGGUUUACACGUUUUUAUAUCUAUGCACACACACGUUCGCUCUCAGAAAAUCGCUACGGGAAGAAGGCUGGAGAUGUGGAAGGCAGUAAUUGAAACAAAAAAACAGGUGGGGGAUUCGAGUAACAUUCGGAGCGUCGGCCAGUGUUGGUCAGGUAUCGCUUCAUAGGUAGAACGACUAAUUGCGUUGCACCUGCAACGAGUGUCACGAGUCCGCGAAUUUUACGCGAUAUUUUUAGGAGGUCCUUAGAAUUCUGUAUAUAUUGUUCGGUAUACACGUGACCGAUUUGUUUUCGCGGCUGAGAUAGACUGCACGCGAUACAGCGUCGUUUUGCUGAAGAGACCGGAAGCUGGCCACAUGAGCCGAGGAUCCAUUUCCAGUUGGCAAGAUUAUGGACGCAGAAAUUCUCAAGGCAUUCCACAAUUCAGUGGGGGUCCGGUGGAGUUCAUGACCUGCGACGGCAUGGAGUACAAAAGAGGGGACGGUUGGUUUCUUUCCUACACAAAGAUUGCAGGGAUCGUGGUGGUUUUCGUUAUCGGGGUGGUUGCUGCCGGCUUCCUCGGAUGGUACAUCAAUUCCUUGCCAAAGAAAAAAGCUUACGACACGUUAGAUUUGCUGAACGACGAGAUCGAGAAUGAAAAUGUCGGAGAAACCACCAUUUCUCCUUUGGUUCAUCCCUUGAAAUAUCGUCUCGAGCUAAUGCCGAUGGUCGACACCAGUGGUCCGUCGACACUGAAGGGACGGGUGAUUAUAGAGUUUGAAGUUAAAGAGACGAGUCUGAAGAAGCUGUCUUUGAACGCUAAGAAUAUUACGGUGGAUUAUUAUAAACUAUCGUCGAUGGAUCCGGGGAAAGAAAGGCAAAAGAGGGCAGUGGACAACGAUUAUGAUAUCGAACGAAGUGAUGGAGUUGUGAUCAGUGCCAUGUACGCCGUGGAGAAUGAGUUCGUAGUAGCCGUAUCAGACAACGGAACAGUGGUCUUCGAAAAUAAUGUUCAGUACCCAUCAGGAGAUUUUCAAUUCACCGACAAAAAUGUAGCAACACCUGAUAAUAGUACAGAAAUUAAAAUAACAGAGUACGAGAUAGACGACGAUAAAGACAUUCACACAGUUUCAUUGGAAACUGCAUUGCAACCGGGAGUUUAUUUCCUGGACAUUGAUUACCAAGCUCCAAUAACGGAGAAUGCGUUUUUUAUUUCGAAUUACUCUCUUGAGGAUGAGAAGUGGUUGAUGGGGACGAGAUUAAAACGAUCUGGAGCUCGAUACCUGUUUCCACUCUUCGACACCACGUUGCACAAGUCAAUUUUCUCUGUGUCCAUAAUACAUUCCAAGGAAACGAAAGCAUUGUCUAAUAUGCCUCUUAGGACCUUGAGAGACAUAUCAAACUCAUCCGUGAUGGACACAUUCGACGAGUCACCUCCACUUUCACCCCAUAACCUGGCAUUUCUGCUGGGUCACGUGGACUCCAUAGGCAUGGUAUUCGACGGGCAUUCCGAAGAGGUGGCCACGUUUUGGCUCGAAUCGAACAGAGACUCGCCAAGGAUCUACGUUUUCGAUAAAUUUAAUUCAACUAUUUCUAAUUUGAUCGACGUGUUCGACAUGCCGUAUCCUUUGCCCAAGAUUGAUGUGGUAGCACUGCCUCCAGGGAUCGACGAGAACAUGGCGAGUCCUGGAUUAAUGGUUAUGAAGCAGUCACUGUUCUACGCAACCGAGAGUUCGCCAAUAGUCACCAAAACCGAUGCUCUGAGGGUUCUAAUCUCCUCGCUGCAACAGCAAUGGACAGACGAGUUCUCGAACGUGAAUCGAUCCGAUGCAUGGAUCUUCGAGGGGUCGAUGAUCUAUUUCCAACACGAUAUUGUUCAAAAGAUAGAUUCGUCAUUGAUCGAUUACUUCAUCGGCGAUGUUCUAAUGCACGCCAUGGAUGUCGAUGGUUACAGCAUCUCGAGACCUCUUCACGAAUAUGUGAAUUAUCGAUCGUUGCACUUGGUCGAUGAUGAGAUCGUGAAAGGUGCAUGUCUGAUACGCAUGUUGCAUGGCGCGGUAAACGAUACGGCGUUUAGGAAUGGCUACAAGAGAGUGAUAAACAGGUGGAAAUAUAAUACUACAGACGUAGCCGAUUUCCUGAGCAUCAUGGAAGAAGAAGCAACCGAACUUCCGACUGGAAUUUCUUUGGAAGAAGCAAUGAAUUCCUGGAUCUUCCAAGGAGGAUAUCCCCUCAUCACUGUUAUGAGAAACUACGAAACAGAAUCUGCUAUUAUUUAUCAGGAACAAUUUACAUUGGACCGACCACUAGAAAGUAUUUCUAAAUUUUGGCAUAUUCCUUUGGACUACAUCGAAGAAAAUGGUAACUGGUCCUCGCCUCAGAAAGUAUGGUUCCAGUCGGAACCUAAGAUCCAGUUAGAUAAUGUUGGCUCGAACCAGUCUUGGAUUCUUUUUAAUAUAAAUAAAACAGGCUAUUACCGAGUUCACUACGACGAAAGAAACUGGAAGUUGUUAAAACUGGCGCUGCAAAAAGAUCAUGAACUCUUACCACCAGAAACGAGAGCCUCUCUCAUAGAUGACAUGUUCAGCCUAGCCGCAGUAGGUCUGAUCAAAUAUGAGACUGUGUUUGAUUUCAUCGAAUAUAUGCGUACUAAGGAGAGGCACUAUCUACCUUGGACUAUACUGAUGCGAUAUACCUUCAAAUUGUACAGGCUCUUGUACGAGACUUCCGCUUUCAGCGACUUUCAGGUUUUCAUGGUGAAAUUUGUGUCUCCAUUGUAUAGUGAAGUGGUAUCAAGGCUGGACGAAGGUUCGCAGUUGACAGUAAUCGCUGUCAAAAUGGCGUGCGUGUUCGAGCACACAGAGUGCCUAAGCUGGGCCAACAAUGCGUUCGAGAGUGCGAAGAAUGAUAGUGAACUUCAAGAAAUCAUCCCUCCAUACCUUCGCGAAGCCUUCUACUGCACCGUCGCCCGUUACGGAACCCGAAAGGAGUGGAAUUACUUCAAGGAAAUGGUAACAGCAACAGAAGAUGAAGAGGAGAAAAAGCGUUUAUUAUCUGCCUUCUCUUGUUUCCAAGCUCCCUGGAUCUUGCAGUCCAUCUUAAAUGAGAUACUACACGAGGAACUAUUCAGCCCAGACGAAAUAUCAGUCAUCUUAAGGUGGUUUCCUCGCAAUCCAGCAGCGGCUCAAGCUGCCUCCCGAUUCGUUCGAGCUAAUUGGCAAGAAAUUACGCAGAGGUGUUUUAAAAUUGAAUGCAGAAGUUUCCUGGAGCUUAUUCCGUGCUGAAAUCUUUUGUGCUGUCGAUGAUUAACGGUAUCACUACCGAACAAGAUUUGGAAGACCUUCAACUGUUCAGAGAAAAUAAUUACGACAGCAUGAAGGGAGUUAGGUACGCGGCAGCACUCGUCGAAGCGAACGGAAAUUUCGAGACGUU